GUGCCAGCAGCCGCGGUAAUACGGAGGGUGCGAGCGUUAAUCGGAAUUACUGGGCGUAAAGGGUGCGUAGGCGGUUGAAUCAGUCGGAUGUGAAAGCCCCGGGCUUAACCUGGGAAUUGCAUUCGAUGCUGUUCGGCUAGAGUACGAUAGAGGGUGGUGGAACUCCAGGUGUAGCGGUGAAAUGCGUAGAUAUCUGGAAGAACACCAGUGGCGAAGGCGGCCACCUGGAUCGUAACUGACGCUGAGGCACGAAAGCGUGGGGAGCAAACAGGAUUAGAUACCCUGGUAGUCCACGCCCUAAACGAUGAGAACUAGCCGCUGGGAGGAUUAGCCUUUCAGUGGCGUAGCUAACGCGUUAAGUUCUCCGCCUGGGGAGUACGGCCGCAAGGUUGAAACUCAAAUGAAUUGACGG
Molecule: ribosomal RNA, 412 nt
Filed under: uncultured bacterium
Lineage: Bacteria
Description: bacterial SSU rRNA
Rfam family: Bacterial small subunit ribosomal RNA
Source: RNAcentral